RNAcentral lists this transfer RNA (69 nucleotides) under Anomophysis sp. ASCT00116655. RNAcentral's name for it is "tRNA-Lys". Lineage: Eukaryota; Metazoa; Arthropoda; Insecta; Coleoptera; Cerambycidae. The record is from RNAcentral.
CAUUGAGUGGCCGAAAGUAAGCAACGGAAUUUUAAACCGGACCAUGAUACACACAAAUAUCCUCAAUGA